CCCUUAGAUGUUCUGGGCCGCACACGCGCUACACUGAAGGAGGCAGCGUGUACUCCUGGAUCGAAAGAUUUGGGUAACCCGCGAAUCUCCUUCGUGCUAGGGAUUGAGGUUUGCAAUUAUCCUUCAUGAACGAGGAAUUCCCAGUAAGUGCAAGUCAUAAGCUUGCGCUGACUACGUCCCUGCCCUUUGUACACACCGCCCGUCGCUACUACCGAUUGAAUGAUUUAGUGAGGACUUCGGACUGGGACCGAUGCGGCUUUCGGGCUGCGUCGGUAUUCUGGAAAGAUGUCAAAACUGUAUCAUUUAGAGGAAGUAAAAGUCGUANCA
RNAcentral lists this ribosomal RNA (327 nucleotides) under uncultured eukaryote. RNAcentral's name for it is "partial 18S ribosomal RNA". It matches the Rfam family "Eukaryotic small subunit ribosomal RNA", at positions 1470 to 1796 of the family's 1831-position model. The record is from RNAcentral.